Molecule: ribosomal RNA, 467 nt
Filed under: uncultured bacterium
Lineage: Bacteria
Description: partial 16S ribosomal RNA
Rfam family: Bacterial small subunit ribosomal RNA
Source: RNAcentral
ACGAACGCUGGCGGCGUGCUUAACACAUGCAAGUCGAACGGAAAGGCCCUGCUUUUGUGGGGUGCUCGAGUGGCGAACGGGUGAGUAACACGUGAGUAACCUGCCCUUGACUUUGGGAUAACUUCAGGAAACUGGGGCUAAUACCGGAUAGGAGCUCCUGCUGCAUGGUGGGGGUUGGAAAGUUUCGGCGGUUGGGGAUGGACUCGCGGCUUAUCAGCUUGUUGGUGGGGUAGUGGCUUACCAAGGCUUUGACGGGUAGCCGGCCUGAGAGGGUGACCGGCCACAUUGGGACUGAGAUACGGCCCAGUCUCCUACGGGAGGCAGCAGUGGGGAAUAUUGCACAAUGGGCGGAAUCCUGAUGCAGCAACGCCGCGUGCGGGAUGACGGCCUUCGGGUUGUAAACCGCUUUCGCCUGUGACGAAGCGUGAGUGACGGUAAUGGGUAAAGAAGCACCGGCUAACUACGUG